GGGCGGAUAGCUCAGUCGGCUAGAGCGUCUGCCUUACAAGCAGAAUGUCGGGGGUUCGAGUCCCUCUCCGCCCACCA
Molecule: transfer RNA, 77 nt
Filed under: Planctomycetaceae bacterium
Lineage: Bacteria; Pseudomonadati; Planctomycetota; Planctomycetia; Planctomycetales; Planctomycetaceae
Description: tRNA-Val
Rfam family: tRNA
About the family: Transfer RNA (tRNA) molecules are approximately 80 nucleotides in length. Their secondary structure includes four short double-helical elements and three loops (D, anti-codon, and T loops).
Source: RNAcentral